This 431-nucleotide long non-coding RNA is filed under the name Danio rerio (zebrafish). Its description in RNAcentral is "lncRNA (ENSDARG00000117375.1)". Lineage: Eukaryota; Metazoa; Chordata; Actinopteri; Cypriniformes; Danionidae. The record is from RNAcentral.
AUGACUAUUAGCCAUUGUUCUCGUCAUAUCUUUUUAUUUAUUUACAUAGGAACCGGUGUUGCAGCGGGUUUUGGUUUAGGAGGGAACCAGAGGUAUGCAGACAGUUUUGGAGGACACUUAGCACGAGACAACGGUCCGGCAGAGAGUGUUUUCCCCCAGAAGAAUAUGAAUGAAAGACCAACAAAUAAUCCAGAUAUGGCACUGGCACAGCAGCAGGUUUUGUCUGAAGAAACAAACAGCAUUUCAGAGGAACAUCUUGAUCAGCACAGCCUUAUGCUUAAAAAAUAAGCAAGACCAGUAAGCAACCAAGAAUACUGGGAGCCUGCCUGUGCAAACUGGACCUCAUACAACAGUAAGUACUGUACAUCUAUUUGUUUCUCAAUAUAUUAACGUUACUUUAAUACAAAAUGUGUCACAUGUUUAGUUGCUAG